This 1154-nucleotide long non-coding RNA is filed under the name Phasianus colchicus (ring-necked pheasant). RNAcentral describes it as "lncRNA (ENSPCLG00000003161.1)". The record is from RNAcentral. Lineage: Eukaryota; Metazoa; Chordata; Aves; Galliformes; Phasianidae.
GUCGUCAGUUCCAUGAGUUUGGUACUGGCGCUGGUUGAGGCUGCACCUCCAAUGUUGUGUUCAGUUUUGGGCCCUUCGCUGAGGUCCUGGAGUGUGUCCAGAGAAGGACAUCAAAGCUGUGAGGGGUCUGGGCCACAGGUUGUAUGGGGAGCAGCUGAGGGGGCUGGGAUUGUUCAGUCUGGAGAAGAGGAGGCUCAGGGGAGACCUUACUGCUCUCUAUAACUACCUGAAGAGAGAUUGUGGUGAGGUGGGAGCCAGCCUCUUCUCCCAGGUAACAGCAAUAGGAUGAGAGGGUAUGGCUUCAGGUUGCACCAGGGGAGGUUCAGGUUGGAUAUUAGGAAUAAUUUCUUCUCUGAAAGAGUGGUCAGGCAUUGAAACAGGCUGCUCAGGUUGUUGGUGGAGUCGCCAUCCCUGGAGAUGUUUAGGAAAUGCGGAGAUGUGGCACUGAGAGAUGUACUUUACUGGGCAUGGUGGGGAUGGGCUGAUGGCUGAACUAGAUGAUCUUAGUGGUCUUUUCUUUCCAACCUUAAUGAUUCUAUGGUUCUAUGAUUCUAUGUCUGGCACCCCGUCCAGCUGCAUCCUCAAAACCUCUGCAGAUGGGGAGCAGAUUGUGCCACUGUUCUCAGUGUUAGGCAGCUCUCCUCAUGUUGAGAUGGAAGCCAUCCCAGAGCAGUCAUACUGGAGGGAGCCGCUGACCCCGCAGAACAGCAAGAGCUGUGGAUGUGCCCCAGUUCCUCAGCUGACAGCCUGAUGCAUUGACUUAAAUGAGCCAGAGCAUGUCUGGAAUUACUCAUCACUACAUAGUGAUGCCUGUUCAGAUCAGUCCCACUUGCAACACAACCUUUGAAGCAGCAGCGUCUUGGCAGAGUUGCAGUUUUUCUGUUCAGUCUCAAGGUUCAGCAGUGGCAGCUCAGCACAGUUCCCAUUUCAGAUUACAGGUGAGAAGGUGGGAUAAGAAACAAAGGACCUUGUUUUUUCUCAUGCAGCAUGCCAGUGGUGGGACUGGGAGCUUCUCUGAUGCCUUCUGCACUUCACUACGGACUAGAGGCAUUUGCUCCCACCACGUGGCUUUGCUCCACCUUAGCACAGGGCAGCCUGGUCUGGUGGUUGGCAGUCCUACCUAUUGCAGGGGGCAGGAACUCAAUGGUCUUUAA